GAUGAACGCUGGCGGCGUGCUUAACACAUGCAAGUCGAACGAUGAAGCCAGCUUGCUGGUGGAUUAGUGGCGAACGGGUGAGUAACACGUGAGUAACCUGCCCUUAACUCUGGGAUAAGCCUGGGAAACUGGGUCUAAUACCGGAUAUGACUUCCCAUCGCAUGGCGGGGGGUGGAAAGCUUUUGUGGUUUUGGAUGGACUCGCGGCCUAUCAGCUUGUUGGUGAGGUAAUGGCUCACCAAGGCGACGACGGGUAGCCGGCCUGAGAGGGUGACCGGCCACACUGGGACUGAGACACGGCCCAGACGCCUACGGGAGGCAGCAGUGGGGAAUAUUGCACAAUGGGCGGAAGCCUGAUGCAGCGACGCCGCGUGAGGGAUGACGGCCUUCGGGUUGUAAACCUCUUUCAGUAGGGAAGAAGCGUAAGUGACGGUACCUGCAGAAGAAGCGCCGGCUAACUACGUGCCAGCAGCCGCCGUAA
RNAcentral lists this ribosomal RNA (480 nucleotides) under uncultured bacterium. RNAcentral's name for it is "partial 16S ribosomal RNA". It matches the Rfam family "Bacterial small subunit ribosomal RNA", at positions 28 to 523 of the family's 1533-position model. The record is from RNAcentral.